UACGAAGGUGGCGAAUGUUGCUCGGAUUCACUGGGCGUAAAGCGUCGGUAGGUGGUUUAUUAAGUCAGAGGUGAAAGCCCCGCGCUCAACGUGGGAAUUGCCUUUGAAACUGGUGAACUUGAAGAUAUGAGAGGAUGGCGGAAUGACUGGUGUAGAGGUAAAAUUCAUAGAUAUCAGUCGGAACACCCAAGGCGAAGGCAGCUAUCUGGCAUAUUCUUGACACUGAGCGACGACAGCGUGGGGAGCAAACAGG
Molecule: ribosomal RNA, 253 nt
Filed under: uncultured bacterium
Lineage: Bacteria
Description: partial 16S ribosomal RNA
Rfam family: Bacterial small subunit ribosomal RNA
Source: RNAcentral